UGCUGGAACACUGGCUCUCGGUGUAACGGAGCUGUUACCUGGAGAUGUUGAGGUCAGUACGGUUGAGAGCAUAGUUCUUAAACUGAAGAAGGAAACCUGUUGAUAUACAGGAAAAGAUGAUGUAUCACUGAAAUGUGCUUCUUAAUAGAUGGAAAGGAAAAUUCCAAAACACGUGAGCGAAUAUUUGCUGGGAAAUUACUUGGCUGGAACCUGACAAUCUUACCCAGGUAUGUGUUGGGCUAGUACUUUGAUUCAGUAUGUUUAGUCCAUAAUGUAGGCUUAAGUGAAUUUUUUUUUUUUGUCUUUGAACAGCAUCCGGGAGGUUGAUGAAUAAUAACGGAGCUAUAAAUGUCACUGACAAGCAACCUUGCUUUAAAUGAGGGGUCGCUGUCUGCCCAUGGAAAGAGGCCAGUUUGCAGUAACCUUCCUGAGGUAUAACCCAUUUCUGGCUAAUUCCACGAGAUUUACUUGUAUGAAAAAAGGAAAAGCUCUUCAUUUUACUGACAUGGGAAGGAAACCUACAAAUGAAGACAAUAUAUUGAUUUUUAUUUUUGUAAACAGAUU
This 564-nucleotide long non-coding RNA is filed under the name Ursus americanus (American black bear). Its description in RNAcentral is "lncRNA (ENSUAMG00000008535.1)". Lineage: Eukaryota; Metazoa; Chordata; Mammalia; Carnivora; Ursidae. The record is from RNAcentral.